RNAcentral lists this ribosomal RNA (412 nucleotides) under uncultured microorganism. RNAcentral's name for it is "bacterial SSU rRNA". It matches the Rfam family "Archaeal small subunit ribosomal RNA", at positions 459 to 872 of the family's 1478-position model. The record is from RNAcentral.
CAGCCGCCGCGGUAAUACCAGCCCCGCGAGUGGUCGGGACGGUUAUUGGGCCUAAAGCGCCCGUAGCCGGCCCGGCAAGUCCCUCCUUAAAGCCUCGGGCCCAACCCGAGGACGGGGGGGAUACUGCCGGGCUAGGGGGCGGGAGAGGCCGGCGGUACUCCCGGGGUCGGGGCGAAAUCCGUUAAUCCCGGGAGGACCACCAGUGGCGAAGGCGGCCGGCUGGAACGCGCCCGACGGUGAGGGGCGAAAGCCGGGGGAGCGAGCCGGAUUAGAUACCCGGGUAGUCCCGGCGGUAAACGAUGCGGGCUAGCUGUUGGGCGGGCUUAGAGCCCGCCCAGUGGCGCAGGGAAGCCGUUAAGUCCGCCGCCUGGGGAGUACGGCCGCAAGGCUGAAACUUAAAGGAAUUGGCGGG